Molecule: transfer RNA, 71 nt
Filed under: Antedon mediterranea
Lineage: Eukaryota; Metazoa; Echinodermata; Crinoidea; Comatulida; Antedonidae
Description: transfer RNA-Leu(UUR)
Rfam family: tRNA
About the family: Transfer RNA (tRNA) molecules are approximately 80 nucleotides in length.
Source: RNAcentral
AUUAAAAUAGCAAAAAGUAAAUGCAGAGGACUUAAGAUCCUCUAAUAAAGGUUAAAAUCCUUUUUUUAGUG